This 210-nucleotide unclassified non-coding RNA is filed under the name Hevea brasiliensis (rubber tree). The record is from RNAcentral. Lineage: Eukaryota; Viridiplantae; Streptophyta; Magnoliopsida; Malpighiales; Euphorbiaceae.
GAAGCUGUCCCAUGGGAGAAACAAACUUCCAAUUCAGUAGUUGAUGAACAAUUGCAUCUAACUUUAAAUAUAACGCUGCUGCAAUUCUCAAAGUUUCCAACUUUUUUGAGGGAAAUCCUUCAAACCGUGCUAGUACCUGUGAUUCGUCAGUUAAAUUCUCGAGUACAGAUUCCACUUGCUUAUGGAAAAUGAGUAGGUCGUUCAUGUCCG